AAGCAUUAUACCCAAUCAUUUUAAACCUUUGCAGGACUGGCAGCUUCUUCUUAACAGCUCUAUUGCAAGGCACUCUACAUCCAAACUGCAGUGUGGAAAAUUUAAAGUGCAGGGAGCUAGCUGGUGUACUAGGAGGAAGAUGUCAUGCUAAGGAUGGGUUUUGGUGAUGAUGUUGCUACUGUUGAUGCAGCAUCGAGCUCUCACUUUGUGCCUCUGUCAGCUAUGAUCCGUAACCACAAAGUGAGUGACAGGCCAGUCCCUGGGGAAAGCAAGGGGGCCUGAGCAGCAAUCAAAGACAAGAGUUCAUCCAAAGCCGUAGUCAGUGUUACACCAG
Long non-coding RNA from Astatotilapia calliptera (eastern happy), 334 nucleotides. The record is from Ensembl. NCBI's taxonomy places the organism in Eukaryota, Metazoa, Chordata, Actinopteri, Cichliformes, Cichlidae.